RNAcentral lists this ribosomal RNA (465 nucleotides) under Vreelandella stevensii. Its description in RNAcentral is "partial 16S ribosomal RNA". It matches the Rfam family "Bacterial small subunit ribosomal RNA", at positions 338 to 795 of the family's 1533-position model. Lineage: Bacteria; Pseudomonadati; Pseudomonadota; Gammaproteobacteria; Oceanospirillales; Halomonadaceae. The record is from RNAcentral.
CCUACGGGGGGCAGCAGUGGGGAAUAUUGGACAAUGGGGGGAACCCUGAUCCAGCCAUGCCGCGUGUGUGAAGAAGGCCCUCGGGUUGUAAAGCACUUUCAGUGAGGAAGAACGCCUGGUGGUUAAUACCCAUCAGGAAAGACAUCACUCACAGAAGAAGCACCGGCUAACUCCGUGCCAGCAGCCGCGGUAAUACGGAGGGUGCGAGCGUUAAUCGGAAUUACUGGGCGUAAAGCGCGCGUAGGUGGCUUGAUAAGCCGGUUGUGAAAGCCCCGGGCUCAACCUGGGAACGGCAUCCGGAACUGUCAAGCUAGAGUGCAGGAGAGGAAGGUAGAAUUCCCGGUGUAGCGGUGAAAUGCGUAGGGAUCGGGAGGAAUACCAGUGGCGAAGGCGGCCUUCUGGACUGACACUGACACUGAGGUGCGAAAGCGUGGGUAGCAAACAGGAUUAGAUACCCUGGUAGUC